Molecule: ribosomal RNA, 411 nt
Filed under: uncultured bacterium
Lineage: Bacteria
Description: bacterial SSU rRNA
Rfam family: Bacterial small subunit ribosomal RNA
Source: RNAcentral
GUGCCAGCCGCCGCGGUAAUACGUAGGGUGCAAGCGUUAAUCGGAAUUACUGGGCGUAAAGCGUGCGCAGGCGGUUUUGUAAGACAGGUGUGAAAUCCCCGGGCUCAACCUGGGAACUGCCUUUGGGACUGCAAAGCUGGAGUGCGGCAGAGGGGGAUGGAAUUCCGCGUGUAGCAGUGAAAUGCGUAGAUAUGCGGAGGAACACCGAUGGCGAAGGCAAUCCCCUGGGCCUGCACUGACGCUCAUGCACGAAAGCGUGGGGAGCAAACAGGAUUGGAUACCCUGGUCGUCCACGCCCUAAACGAUGUCAACUGGUUGUUGGGUCUCUUCUGACUCAGUAACGAAGCUAACGCGUGAAGUUGACCGCCUGGGGAGUACGGCCGCAAGGUUGAAACUUAAAUGAAUUGGCGG